CAGCUUAAAGCCACUAUUAUUUUGGAAAAGACUAUUAUUUUGGAAAAGGAGAUAUCUCCGUAGAUGGUUUUGCAUGAUUGUUACAGAAAGUAAGUCUGUGCAGUGACAUCAUUAAUAAGCCUGAGUCCAGAAGCAGUUAGUCAACUGCAUCAGUGCAGAUUUUAGUAUUUGCAUACUCCAUGAAGCUUAGCACCUUGCUACUACUACCUGUCUUCCACCUCAGCUGGACUCAUCUUUUUAUGCACUCUAAUCUGGAAGCAUCCUUGCCUGGCCCACUCCUCAUCCUUCAGGCUUUCUCUUAGUGGACAUUUUCUUCUGGAAGCCUGUUCAUGCCCCCAAAUCUGGAAAUAUGGGUUAUGUCUCACUCCUGAAUGCACUCACCCUGUGUUUUGCAUUUGUUGCUGCACUUGUCUCUCAGCCUGGUAUUGAUUCACUUGUCUCUGCUUCACCUUGGGGUGGAUUGUUCAUGCCAUCUGAAGAGGACUCUGGCUGUGCAGGUCUUGUUCAGUCUGGGCCUAUAACUGAUGCA
This 529-nucleotide long non-coding RNA is filed under the name Marmota monax (woodchuck). Lineage: Eukaryota; Metazoa; Chordata; Mammalia; Rodentia; Sciuridae. The record is from RNAcentral.